CCUACGGGGGGCUGCAGUGAGGAAUAUUGGUCAAUGGGCGCGAGCCUGAACCAGCCAAGUAGCGUGAAGGAUGACUGCCCUACGGGUUGUAAACUUCUUUUAUAAAGGAAUAAAGUGAGGCACUUGUGCCUUUUUGUAUGUACUUUAUGAAUAAGGAUCGGCUAACUCCGUGCCAGCAGCCGCGGUAAGACGGAGGAUACGAGCGUUAUCCGGAUUUAUUGGAUUUAAAGGGAGCGUAGAUGGGUUGUUAAGUCACGUGUGAAAGUUCGCGGCUCAACCGUAAAAUUGCAAUGGAUACUGGCAGUCUUGAGUACAGUUGAGGUAGGCGGAAUUCGUGGUGUAGCGGUGAAAUGCUUAGAUAUCACGAAGAACUCCGAUUGCGAAGGCAGCUUACUAACCUGCCACUGACGUUGAUGCUCGAAAGUGUGGGUAUCAAACAGGAUUAGAUACCCGGGUAGUC
This 460-nucleotide ribosomal RNA is filed under the name uncultured bacterium. Its description in RNAcentral is "partial 16S ribosomal RNA". It matches the Rfam family "Bacterial small subunit ribosomal RNA", at positions 338 to 795 of the family's 1533-position model. The record is from RNAcentral.